GUUUUGCUGACGAGUGGCGGACGUGGUGAGUAAUGUCUGGGAAACUGCCUGAUGGAGGGGGAUAACUACUGGAAACGGUAGCUAAUACCGCAUAACGUCGCAAGACCAAAGAGGGGGACCUUAGGGCCUCUUGCCAUCGGAUGUGCCCAGAUGGGAUUAGCUAGUAGGUGGGGUAACGGCUCACCUAGGCGACGAUCCCUAGCUGGUCUGAGAGGAUGACCAGCCACACUGGAACUGAGACACGGUCCAGACUCCUACGGGAGGCAGCAGUGGGGAAUAUUGCACAAUGGGCGCAAGCCUGAUGCAGCCAUGCCGCGUGUAUGAAGAAGGCCUUCGGGUUGUAAAGUACUUUCAGCGGGGAGGAAGGGAGUAAAGUUAAUACCUUUGCUCAUUGACGUUACCCGCAGAAGAAGCACCGGCUAACUCCGUGCCAGCAGCCGCGGUAAUACGGAGGGUGCAAGCGUUAAUCGGAAUUACUGGGCGUAAAGCGCACGCAGGCGGUUUGUUAAGUCAGAUGUGAAAUCCCCGGGCUCAACCUGGGAACUGCAUCUGAUACUGGCAAGCUUG
RNAcentral lists this ribosomal RNA (567 nucleotides) under Enterobacteriaceae bacterium HGH0212. RNAcentral's name for it is "bacterial SSU rRNA". It matches the Rfam family "Bacterial small subunit ribosomal RNA", at positions 82 to 644 of the family's 1533-position model. The record is from RNAcentral. Lineage: Bacteria; Pseudomonadati; Pseudomonadota; Gammaproteobacteria; Enterobacterales; Enterobacteriaceae.